Molecule: ribosomal RNA, 464 nt
Filed under: Vreelandella stevensii
Lineage: Bacteria; Pseudomonadati; Pseudomonadota; Gammaproteobacteria; Oceanospirillales; Halomonadaceae
Description: partial 16S ribosomal RNA
Rfam family: Bacterial small subunit ribosomal RNA
Source: RNAcentral
CCUACGGGUGCAGCAGUGGGGAAUAUUGGACAAUGGGCGAAAGCCUGAUCCAGCCAUGCCGCGUGUGUGAAGAAGGCCUUCGGGUUGUAAAGCACUUUCAGUGGGGAAGAAAGCCUUGGGGCUAAUACCCUCGAGGAAGGACAUCACCCACAGAAGAAGCACCGGCUAACUCCGUGCCAGCAGCCGCGGUAAUACGGAGGGUGCGAGCGUUAAUCGGAAUUACUGGGCGUAAAGCGCGCGUAGGCGGUCUGAUAAGCCGGUUGUGAAAGCCCCGGGCUCAACCUGGGAACGGCAUCCGGAACUGUCAGGCUAGAGUGCAGGAGAGGAAGGUAGAAUUCCCGGUGUAGCGGUGAAAUGCGUAGAGAUCGGGAGGAAUACCAGUGGCGAAGGCGGCCUUCUGGACUGACACUGACGCUGAGGUGCGAAAGCGUGGGUAGCAAACAGGAUUAGAUACCCCAGUAGUC